UCAUGAAAAAAUUUUUUAAUGAGUUGGGCU
This 30-nucleotide non-coding RNA is filed under the name Rattus norvegicus (Norway rat). The record is from RNAcentral. Lineage: Eukaryota; Metazoa; Chordata; Mammalia; Rodentia; Muridae.